GAAAUGCGAUAAUUAAUGUGAAUUGCAGAAUUCAGUGAAUCAUCGAGUCUUUGAACGCACAUUGCGCCCCCUGGUAUUCCGGGGGGGCAUGUCUGUCCGAGCGUCAUUGCUGCCCUCAAGCACGGCUUGUGUGUUGGGCUUCCGUCCCUGGCAACGGGGACGGGCCCAAAAGGCAGUGGCGGCACCAUGUCUGGUCCUCGAGCGUAUGGGGCUUUGUCACCCGCUCCCGUAGGUCCAGCUGGCAGCUAGCCUCGCAACCAAUCUUUUUAACCAGGUUGACCUCGGAUCAGGUAGGGAUACCCGCUGAACUUAAGC
Molecule: unclassified non-coding RNA, 315 nt
Filed under: plant metagenome
Description: partial contains 5.8S ribosomal RNA, internal transcribed spacer 2, and large subunit ribosomal RNA
Rfam family: 5.8S ribosomal RNA (bases 1-106)
Source: RNAcentral